AAAUUGAAGAGUUUGAUCAUGGCUCAGAUUGAACGCUGGCGGCAGGCCUAACACAUGCAAGUCGAGCGGAAACGAGUUGUCUGAACCUUCGGG
This 93-nucleotide ribosomal RNA is filed under the name Vibrio alginolyticus. RNAcentral's name for it is "partial 16S ribosomal RNA". It matches the Rfam family "Bacterial small subunit ribosomal RNA", at positions 1 to 91 of the family's 1533-position model. Lineage: Bacteria; Pseudomonadati; Pseudomonadota; Gammaproteobacteria; Vibrionales; Vibrionaceae. RNAcentral also lists the same sequence under 1 other name. The record is from RNAcentral.